GUUGACAUUGCAUGGGAAAACCUGCUUCAAGAGUCAUUUUAUCAGCGGUCGCGGAUCGAGAAGGACGCGUUUUUUUCGAGCUCUCGGGAGACAGAUACUUUGUGUCGCUCACAGCUUCUCUCCUACCGUUAGCGAGAGACAGGUGUAGUGUUAAAGCUUGCUAAACAAUUCGGAUGUUUUUGAAGAGCUCUCUCACAGAAACAACUGAUACCUAUCAAUUAAAGAUGGAGCAGAAGCGAGAUUUCCUCAGCAAGGUGAAAUCCUUACAAGAACUGGAACUAUGGGCUUCAAAUCACCACUGUGCAAAUGAUCCCGAAGUGACCCUAAAACGCAUUGAACUGUUAGCCACACGAAGUGUGAAAACGUCAGAGCAAUGUACUCAACAGCAACCUACACAUUCCAUGCCGCACCAUUGUCAUCAGUGUAAUCGGAAAUUUACACAGAAUAAAUCUCUUUUGCGUCAUGUUCGCACCGUACAUAAUAACCAACGAUUCCAAUGUGUGCAGUGUAAGAAGUCUUAUUCUCGCCUCGAUGCACUUCAAGGCCAUAGCUGUCAGCUGUUCACUUUGAAGAGAAAACAGUCUUCAUCAGGGCCUGCAGCUAAACGUCCAUGUCUGCAGUCAGCGGAAAACCCCCCU
Haliotis rubra (blacklip abalone) is the source of this 638-nucleotide long non-coding RNA. RefSeq lists it as uncharacterized. The transcript is spliced from 3 exons. The record is from RefSeq and is a predicted model, not a curated record. Lineage: Eukaryota; Metazoa; Mollusca; Gastropoda; Lepetellida; Haliotidae.